Molecule: transfer RNA, 77 nt
Filed under: Trueperella bernardiae
Lineage: Bacteria; Bacillati; Actinomycetota; Actinomycetes; Actinomycetales; Actinomycetaceae
Description: tRNA-Leu
Rfam family: tRNA
About the family: Transfer RNA (tRNA) molecules are approximately 80 nucleotides in length.
Source: RNAcentral
GGCCCUGUAGCCCAACAGGCAGAGGCAACGCGCUCAAAACGCGUCCAGUCCCAGUUCGAAUCUGGGCAGGGCCACAA